GUAUAUAAAUAGAUAGAUGUGUGAUUGUCGUAUAUGUAGUUAUAAGAU
RNAcentral lists this non-coding RNA (48 nucleotides) under Trypanosoma brucei brucei. Lineage: Eukaryota; Euglenozoa; Kinetoplastea; Trypanosomatida; Trypanosomatidae. The record is from RNAcentral.